GUAGGUAUAGUUUAAACGAAAACAUUAGAUUGUGAUUCUAAAAACAGGGGUUAAACCCCCCUUCCCCACC
RNAcentral lists this transfer RNA (70 nucleotides) under Paralichthys lethostigma (southern flounder). RNAcentral describes it as "tRNA-His". It matches the Rfam family "tRNA". Rfam says of the family: Transfer RNA (tRNA) molecules are approximately 80 nucleotides in length. Their secondary structure includes four short double-helical elements and three loops (D, anti-codon, and T loops). Further hydrogen bonds mediate the characteristic L-shaped molecular structure. tRNAs have two regions of fundamental functional importance: the anti-codon, which is responsible for specific mRNA codon recognition, and the 3' end, to which the tRNAs corresponding amino acid is attached (by aminoacyl-tRNA synthetases). tRNAs cope with the degeneracy of the genetic code in two manners: having more than one tRNA (with a specific anti-codon) for a particular amino acid; and 'wobble' base-pairing, i.e. permitting non-standard base-pairing at the 3rd anti-codon position. The record is from RNAcentral. RNAcentral also lists the same sequence under 1 other name. Lineage: Eukaryota; Metazoa; Chordata; Actinopteri; Pleuronectiformes; Paralichthyidae.